This 464-nucleotide ribosomal RNA is filed under the name Veillonella parvula. Its description in RNAcentral is "bacterial SSU rRNA". It matches the Rfam family "Bacterial small subunit ribosomal RNA", at positions 28 to 468 of the family's 1533-position model. Lineage: Bacteria; Bacillati; Bacillota; Negativicutes; Veillonellales; Veillonellaceae. The record is from RNAcentral.
GACGAACGCUGGCGGCGUGCUUAACACAUGCAAGUCGAACGAAGAGCGACGGAAGCUUGCUUCUAUCAAUCUUAGUGGCGAACGGGUGAGUAACGCGUAAUCAACCUGCCCUUCAGAGGGGGACAACAGUUGGAAACGACUGCUAAUACCGCAUACGAUCUAAUCUCGGCAUCGAGGAUAGAUGAAAGGUGGCCUCUACAUGUAAGCUAUCACUGAAGGAGGGGAUUGCGUCUGAUUAGCUAGUUGGAGGGGUAACGGCCCACCAAGGCGAUGAUCAGUAGCCGGUCUGAGAGGAUGAACGGCCACAUUGGGACUGAGACACGGCCCAGACUCCUACGGGAGGCAGCAGUGGGGAAUCUUCCGCAAUGGACGAAAGUCUGACGGAGCAACGCCGCGUGAGUGAUGACGGCCUUCGGGUUGUAAAGCUCUGUUAAUCGGGACGAAAGGCCUUCUUGCGAACAGUU